This 497-nucleotide ribosomal RNA is filed under the name uncultured bacterium. RNAcentral describes it as "partial 16S ribosomal RNA". It matches the Rfam family "Bacterial small subunit ribosomal RNA", at positions 28 to 507 of the family's 1533-position model. The record is from RNAcentral.
GAUGAACGCUGGCGGCGUGCCUAAUACAUGCAAGUCGAGCGAACAGAUGAGGAGCUUGCUCCUCUGACGUUAGCGGCGGACGAGUGAGUAACACGUGGAUAACCUACCUAUAAGACUGGGAUAACUUCGGGAAACCGGAGCUAAUACCGGAUAAUAUAUUGAACCGCAUGGUUCAAUAGUGAAAGACGGUUUUGCUGUCACUUAUAGAUGGAUCCGCGCCGCAUUAGCUAGUUGGUAAGGUAACGGCUUACCAAGGCAACGAUGCGUAGCCGACGUGAGAGGGUGAUCGGCCACCCUGGAGCGGGGACACGGUCCAGACUCCUACGGGAGGCAGCAGUAGGGAAUGUUCCGCAAUGGGCGAAAGCCUGACGGAGCAACGCCGCGUGAGUGAUGAAGGUCUUCGGAUCGUAAAACUCUGUUAUUAGGGAAGAACAAAUGCGUAAGUAACUAUGCACGUCUUGACGGUACCUAAUCAGAAAGCCACGGCUAACUACGUG